Molecule: ribosomal RNA, 650 nt
Filed under: uncultured bacterium
Lineage: Bacteria
Description: bacterial SSU rRNA
Rfam family: Bacterial small subunit ribosomal RNA
Source: RNAcentral
UGGCGAUCUGAGAGCUUGCUCUUGGGUGACGAGCGGCGGACGGGUGAGUAAUGUCUGGGAAACUGCCUGAUGGAGGGGGAUAACUACUGGAAACGGUAGCUAAUACCGCAUAACGUCGCAAGACCAAAGAGGGGGACCUUCGGGCCUCUUGCCAUCAGAUGUGCCCAGAUGGGAUUAGCUAGUAGGUGGGGUAAUGGCUCACCUAGGCGACGAUCCCUAGCUGGUCUGAGAGAAUGACCAGCCACACUGGAACUGAGACACGGUCCAGACUCCUACGGGAGGCAGCAGUGGGGAAUAUUGCACAAUGGGCGCAAGCCUGAUGCAGCCAUGCCGCGUGUGUGAAGAAGGCCUUCGGGUUGUAAAGCACUUUCAGCGAGGAGGAAGGUGGUGAACUUAAUACGUUCAUCAAUUGACGUUACUCGCAGAAGAAGCACCGGCUAACUCCGUGCCAGCAGCCGCGGUAAUACGGAGGGUGCAAGCGUUAAUCGGAAUUACUGGGCGUAAAGCGCACGCAGGCGGUUUGUUAAGUCAGAUGUGAAAUCCCCGGGCUCAACCUGGGAACUGCAUUUGAAACUGGCAAGCUAGAGUCUCGUAGAGGGGGGUAGAAUUCCAGGUGUAGCGGUGAAAUGCGUAGAGAUCUGGAGGAAUAC